AUAAUAAGUGUUCUACUGCACUUUUUAAAAAUAGUACUCACCUUGUGUGCAAUGUUUGUUAGACUCUCUCGGGAGUCUGACAUUUAUACCAACCUUUUUUAUUUGAACCACUUUGUCUGAAAAAUAUUAUGAAUACUUAAUUC
RNAcentral lists this unclassified non-coding RNA (143 nucleotides) under uncultured fungus. RNAcentral describes it as "sequence contains ITS1". Lineage: Eukaryota; Fungi. The record is from RNAcentral.